CAGUCGCCACGGGAAUACAGAGGGUGCAAGCGUUAAUCGGAAUUACUGGGCGUAAAGCGCGCGUAGGUGGUUCGCCAAGUUGGAUGUGAAAUCCCCGGGCUCAACCUGGGAACUGCAUCCAAAACUGGCGAGCUAGAGUAUGGUAGAGGGUGGUGGAAUUUCCUGUGUAGCGGUGAAAUGCGUAGAUAUAGGAAGGAACACCAGUGGCGAAGGCGACUGACUGGACAAGUAUUGACGCUGAGGUGCGAAAGCGUGGGGAGCAAACAGGAUUAGAUACCCCCGUAGUCCCUGUCUCUUAUAC
RNAcentral lists this ribosomal RNA (301 nucleotides) under uncultured bacterium. RNAcentral describes it as "partial 16S ribosomal RNA". It matches the Rfam family "Bacterial small subunit ribosomal RNA", at positions 509 to 807 of the family's 1533-position model. The record is from RNAcentral.